Molecule: unclassified non-coding RNA, 2521 nt
Filed under: Priapulus caudatus
Lineage: Eukaryota; Metazoa; Priapulida; Priapulimorpha; Priapulimorphida; Priapulidae
Description: bMP-binding endothelial regulator protein-like, transcript variant X1
Source: RNAcentral
AGAAGCAUCUCCCGUGUACGGCUACGUACGUGGUUCGCUCCUCGCACCUCUCACGUCUGGCGUGGUCAGUCGAUCACCCCGCCCCGCCCCGCGCGCUCACGACACCGACACGCUCGCUCGACCGCACGCCGGAACGCGGUGGCGUGCUACGGAGUUACGAUCCAUCGCGAGAGACGCGAUCGCUGUCUUGCAUGCAGCGUACGUAUAGCCAGCCAGCCGCGCAGUGCGCCCGUGGUACCGGCGAAAGACGGUGAUGUUUGUAGAUGCGCUUCAGAUAUGAUUAGGUAGACGAUAAGUAAGAGUUCGGCCGCGUAGACGUGUGUGCGCGUAUAGGACGUCGCUAACCGCAAAACGAGAAGAAUCGCGGUGCCUGACUGACUUCAGAGAGUGCGAAGUCAUCUGUGACUGAAUGCUGCGUCUUAUCGACUCUAUAUGAACGUGGAAUUGCGAAUGCCGAACACAGAAUGUGGUGAUUAUUGACUGCAUACGGACUGUGAAGCACAUGAGCACAACAUAGACCUCGACGGAGCAGCGGCUUGCUAUGACGCCGUCAUCGCCUGAAACGCUCUCGGAAUCUCAGUCGGCGAGCGAACCCAAAUGAGUAUCGCACAUCGGAGUCGCGUUCGGAAAUCAAAAUGACUUUGAACGUUGCAAAGAACAUCGGAAUUAGCUUGAUCGUCUUCGCGUGGCUACAGUUGACGGCCACAGCACAGCUUGCAGGUACGGUGGCUACAUGCGAAAACGAGGGCGAAGUGGUAGAAGUACCUCUAACUUGGACGGACCCUUGCAAAUACACCUGUCGUUGCAAAAGCGGUCAGGUUGUGUGUGAGAAGCAGGCCUGUCCGAGUAUGGAGGGAUGUCAUGCCGUUAUCUACGGACUCGACGAUAGAUGCUGCGAAGAGUGUAAAGGCUGCGUCUACAAGAACACGACACACGUUAGCGGCACGAGCUGGAUGGACGCACACGACCCCUGCAGAGAGUUCACAUGUCAGGCGGGCGUUCUUUCGGUAACGGAAACAAAAUGUUACACGCCCUGCGAUGAUCCAGUGGAUGUCAAGGAUCAGUGUUGUCCCGUCUGUGAAGGAUGUGGUACCUAUAAGGAAGGGGAAACAUUUACACUGGACACCGAUAUAUGCGUGCAGUGCACCUGCAAGAAAAACAGAUUCGAAUGCUUCAAGCGGGCCUGUCCCGUGCUUUCUUGCUCCGCAUCGCACGUAGCCGUGCGGGAAGGACACUGUUGCCCCGAAUGUAGAGGAACUCGCAUGGUAUUCGAAGUGUUCAAUCGCUGUUUGCUUGGAAACAAGAUCUAUAACGACGGACAGAGCUUUCAGAUUGGUCUUUGCACAUCCUGCACGUGUAUGGACUCUACUUCAGUAUGUCAUACGAAGGCUUGUCCACCGCUAGACUGUGCCCAAGAACUACAAAUACAGAUGAGCGAAGAGUGCUGCCCGAAGUGUAUGGCCGAGGAAGAGAAGACAUGUAAAUACAGGAAUGUCACAUACGAGGAUGGGCAGGAAUGGAAGCUGGACGCCUGUACAGUAUGCGUGUGCACAGAAAGAGAGAUUAUGUGUCAUGUAAUUGAGUGCCCACAGGAUCUCAAAUGCUCUCAGGGUUUUAAACCAAAGAAGUUGUCAAGCGAAUGCUGCACAAGAUGUGUUGAAGACGACGCCGUCUGUACUGUGUACGGCGAUCCACACUACAUCACGUUCGAUGGGAAGACGUAUAACUUCCAGGGCCGGUGUAAGUACGUGCUGGCGCAGGACUGCAAGAACAAGACCUUCUCCGUGCGAGCGCAGAACGACGCCCGCGUCAGCGCCGAGUUCGCCUGGACGAAGAUGAUUGAAGUUGUCGUUAAUAAAUUAAAGAUACGCAUGAGGCCAGGUCUAGAAGUAAGAGUGCAACGUAAAGUUGUGCGUCUCCCAUACAUCAAGCUGGGCUUGUUCUCUAUAGUAAAAGAUAGCUUCAGCAUUGUACUGAGGACUACGUUCGGUGUUAAAGUUGUGUGGGAUGGCGACAGCUAUGCGGAGAUAACAGUGGACCCCAAAUAUAAAAGUACUCUGUGCGGGCUCUGUGGGAACUACAAUGGAAACCCCGAUGACGAUUUCACGAACAAGAGAGGAAAGCUACUCGAGGAUAAGGAAAGAUUUGGUCGUGCAUACAGGACAUGUGUGACUGCCCGCGGCACAGAAGCUGCGCGUGUGAAACUGUGAUUGCUUAUGCGAUGGCCUGCAGUCGAAAUGGGAUAGAUGUAGCGUGGCAGGAAUACACAACAUGUGGAGAACGGCAGUGUCAAGAAGGAGAAAUAUACGAUCACUGCGGGCCGCGAUGCCAGCAAACAUGUGACACGAUCAAUCACAACUCUAUUAUGCCAGCCUGUAAAGGCGAGAGACAUUGCAUUGCUGGCUGCCGCUGCAUAACAAGAAAAGUAUUGCACAAUGGACGGUGUAUAAGGCCGAAUGAUUGUCCCAGCGGUAGUUAACACAGGGCUUUCCAUAGCAAACAAAUAAGAGAAUACAAUGUU